CAGGUAUUGGUGGGUAGGAUGGCUCAAUCUUCUGUUAGGUCCAAGAUUACAACCAAUCCAAGAUUACAACCAAUUGAUUACAGCAUUACCACAAAAAUGGAGGUAGGAGGAGGAGGUAGGGAACUGGUCUGUCUGCCCAAUAUAAAGGAUCCAAAAUAGCCAAAUAGGAAACUAUAACCGUUUCAUUUGAGGACCAGGAUGUUGACAGCUGUGGCAUACAGAUUGCAAAAUAACCGGGAAGAGAUGUUUGAUGUACCGAUUCCAUGGCACAGGGUGUAUGAGUUGAUAUAUAGAAACAGGAUUGUGUCAAGGCACGGACCUGGGGAAGGGUACCAAACAAUUUCUGCAGCAUUGAAGAUCUCCAAGAAUACAGUUGGCUCCAUCAUUCUUAAAUGGAAGAAGAUUGGAACCACGAAGACUCUUCCUAGAGCUGGCUGCCCGGCUAAACUGAGCAAUCUCUGUGGAGAUGGGAGAAUCUUCCAAAAGGACAUCCAUUUCUGCAGCAUUCCACCAAUCAGGCCUUUAUGGUAGAGUGGCCAGACAGAAGCCACUCCUCAGUAAAAGGCACAUGACAGCAUGUCAAAAAAAAAAACUGUUCUUGCUUUGUCAUUAUGCGGUAUUGUGUGUAGAUUGAUGAGGAGAGAAAAAAACUAUUGAAUCCAUUUUAGAAUAAGGCUGUAACGUAACAAAAUGUGGAAAAAGUCAAGGGGUCUGAAUACUUUCUGUAUGCACUGUAUGAAUCCUAUUGUUUUUCUCUUAAAGAUUAUCAUAGUUGAAUGUCCAGUGUGCUGGCUGGGUGAAUUUUGCACUUGUGGAAAUUCCCUUAGUUCACUUGUCUGCUAACCCAAGAGCACUUCAACGUUUUGAGAGGAAAAUACGUAUUUAAACCCCAUGUUUGGUCCAUAGUAAGGCUUCUACAGUAGCAGGAUAGCUCCUUUGUAUUGAAUGUGUACUAAAUAAAGGUACAGAAUUGCUGUGUCAACGUUUUUGUUUGGAUUUGUCUUUCAACGUUUGGGAAUUUGUGAAA
This 1027-nucleotide long non-coding RNA is filed under the name Salmo salar (Atlantic salmon). RNAcentral's name for it is "lncRNA (ENSSSAG00000111655.1)". Lineage: Eukaryota; Metazoa; Chordata; Actinopteri; Salmoniformes; Salmonidae. The record is from RNAcentral.